AAAAGCACCCCGGGAGGGGAGUGAAAGAGAACCUGAAACCCUAUGUUUACAAGCAGUGGGAGCGAAAGCGACCGCGUACUUUUUGUAGAACGGGCCGGCGAGUUACUGUAUGCAGCGAGGUUAAGGUGUAGAGCACCGGAGCCGCAGGGAAACCGAGUCUUAACUGGGCGAAUAGUUGCAUAUAGUACACCCGAAACCGGGUGACCUAUCCAUGGACAGGAUGAAACGGUGGUAAAACACCGCGGAGGUCCGAACCACACGUAUGUUGAAAAAUGCGGGGAUGAGCUGUGGAUAGCGGAGAAAUUCCAAUCGAACUCGGAAAUAGCUGGUUCUCCCCGAAAUAGCUUUAGGGCUAGCCUCGUAUUAGAUUACCGGGGGUAGAGCACUGAAUGGGCUAGGGGGCCACAAAGCUUACCGAACCCUAUCAAACUUCGAAUACCGGAUAAUUGAUGUACGGGAGUCAGACGGCGUGAGAUAAGUUUCGUCGUCGAGAGGGAAACAGCCCAGAUCUACGACUAAGGUCCCAAAAUCACAGUUAAGUGGAAAAGGAUGUGCAGUUGCACAAACAACCAGGAUGUUGGCUUAGAAGCAGCCACUCAUUCAAAGAGUGCGUAAUAGCUCACUGGUCGAGUGAUUGUGCGCCGAAAAUGUACCGGGGCUAAACUGUGUACCGAAGUCUAGGGAUUGCGUAAGCAAUCGGUAGGGGAGCAACGUGUGCGGGCUGAAGCCGAAGCGUAAGCGACGGUGGACUGCACGGGAGAGAGAAUGCCGGCAUGAGUAGCGAGAGCAAAGUGAGAAUCUUUGCCGUCGAAAGCCUAAGGUUUCCUGAGGAAGGCUCGUCCACUCAGGGUAAGUCAGGACCUAAGCCGAGGACAGAAGUCGUAGGCGAUGGACAACUGGUUGAUAUUCCAGUACCACCUUUAGCGCAUGACAGAAGCAGUGACACAGAAGGAUAGACAGAGCACGGCGAUGGUAGACCGUGUCUAAGCAGUGAGGCUGGUUGGUAGUAAAGUACGCCAACUAAGGCUGGGCUGUGAUGGGGACCGAAGAUUAGUAGGGAAGCUGUUGAAUUCACGCUGGCGAGAAAAGCUGCUAUGGAGCGAAGAGGUGCCUGUACCGCAAACCGACACAGGUAGGCGAGGAGAGAAUCCUAAGACGAGCGGGAGAACCCUUGUUAAGGAACUCGGCAAAAUGACCCCGUAACUUAGGGAAAAGGGGAGCCUCGAGAGAGGCCGCAGAGAAUAGGCCCAAGCGACUGUUUACCAAAAACACAGGUCUGUGCGAAGUAGAGAUACGACGUAUACGGGCUGACGCCUGCCCAGUGCCGGAAGGUUAAGGGGAAGUGUUAGGGCAACCGAAGCACGGAACUUAAGCCCCGGUGAACGGCGGCCGUAACUAUAACGGUCCUAAGGUAGCGAAAUUCCUUGUCGGGUAA
Molecule: ribosomal RNA, 1435 nt
Filed under: fermentation metagenome
Description: bacterial LSU rRNA
Rfam family: Bacterial large subunit ribosomal RNA
Source: RNAcentral